Molecule: ribosomal RNA, 178 nt
Filed under: uncultured bacterium
Lineage: Bacteria
Description: partial 16S ribosomal RNA
Rfam family: Bacterial small subunit ribosomal RNA
Source: RNAcentral
UGGGUGAUCUGCCCUGCACUUCGGGAUAAGCCUGGGAAACUGGGUCUAAUACCGGAUAUGACUGCGAAUCGCAUGGUUUGUGGUGGAAAGCUUUUGCGGUGUGGGAUGGGCCCGCGGCCUAUCAGCUUGUUGGUGAGGUAAUGACUCACCAAGGCGACGACGGGUAGCCGGCCUGGAA